AUUUAGUUUUGCUCAUUUCAAUUCUACUUAAUAUCUGUUCCUUUCUGCAAGCCACAACCGUAUCUCUCAAGGAUAACAAGUGUUUGCAAAAAGAUGGAACAAGACAAUGCUGCACAAGUUUUUAUGAGGAAAAUAAUACAUGUCAUGAAUGUAUAGGAUCAUAUGGUGUUAAUUGCUCACAUCCUUGUAAGCCGGGGUUUUUUGGCCCAAAAUGCGCUUUUGAAUGUCCAUGUUUGGAAAGCAACUGUGAUAAAAUACAAGGUUGUC
Long non-coding RNA from Saccostrea echinata, 267 nucleotides. RefSeq lists it as uncharacterized. Lineage: Eukaryota; Metazoa; Mollusca; Bivalvia; Ostreida; Ostreidae. The record is from RefSeq and is a predicted model, not a curated record. The transcript is spliced from 3 exons.